RNAcentral lists this unclassified non-coding RNA (241 nucleotides) under Hevea brasiliensis (rubber tree). The record is from RNAcentral. Lineage: Eukaryota; Viridiplantae; Streptophyta; Magnoliopsida; Malpighiales; Euphorbiaceae.
AGAGCUAUGUCUUGUGUUAUUUUAAACCUGGUACCUUCUCUCAAUCUUGAUGGCAGCAACACCAGUGCCAACUCUGCCAGAUUAUCAAACAGUCUCUCUUGCUUCUUUGNNNNNNNNUUCUUCUUCGUCUUCCUUCUUUCUGGGACCCUUGAGUUCCAUUCACAGCAAAAAUCGUUGUGAUUCCCUCCGCGUAAUCAAGGGCUCUAGGUCGUUUUCCUCGGUGUUCAAGUGUGUUUCCCAG